Long non-coding RNA from Gordionus sp. m RMFG-2023, 302 nucleotides. RefSeq lists it as uncharacterized. The record is from RefSeq and is a predicted model, not a curated record. Lineage: Eukaryota; Metazoa; Nematomorpha; Gordioida; Chordodea; Parachordodidae. The transcript has 3 exons.
CCUACAAAACAUCUCAAGAUCAUCUAGAGCUCUUCUUUAGCUGUUUACGAAGCAGAGGAGGUUUUAAUAAUAACCCUUCUGCCUAUCAAUUACGAUCAGCUAUAAGAGGCGUUAUGAUAGCAAAGAUGGGAGCCUUAUGCACAGAUGUUCCAGAUAUCCAAAAAUUAUCGCCAUUCGUUGAUAACAUCGCAACUUAUAUAUCAGGAUAUAUAACACGUAAACUUAUAUCCGAAAAUAAGAUAAACAAAAUGAAAAUACCAACAUUCGUCAGAAGCUGACCAAAACCAUUCUAUUUAAAGGAC